AUUGAACGCUGGCGACAUGCCUUACACAUGCAAGUCGAACGGCAGCACGGGUGCUUGCACCUGGUGGCGAGUGGCGAACGGGUGAGUAAUACAUCGGAACAUGUCCUGUAGUGGGGGAUAGCCCGGCGAAAGCCGGAUUAAUACCGCAUACGAUCUACGGAUGAAAGCGGGGGACCUUCGGGCCUCGCGCUAUAGGGUUGGCCGAUGGCUGAUUAGCUAGUUGGUGGGGUAAAGGCCUACCAAGGCGACGAUCAGUAGCUGGUCUGAGAGGACGACCAGCCACACUGGGACUGAGAAACGGCCAAGACUCCUACGGGAGGCAGCAGUGGGGAAUUUUGGACAAUGGGCGAAAGCCUGAUCCAGAAAUGCCGCGUGUGUGAAGAAGGCCUUCGGGUUGUAAAGAACUUUUGUCCGGAAAGAAAUCCUUGGCCCUAAUACGGUCGGGGGAUGACGGUACCGGAAGAAUAAGCACCGGCUAACUACGUG
Molecule: ribosomal RNA, 486 nt
Filed under: uncultured bacterium
Lineage: Bacteria
Description: partial 16S ribosomal RNA
Rfam family: Bacterial small subunit ribosomal RNA
Source: RNAcentral